UACGUAGGGGGCAAGCGUUGUCCGGAUUUAUUGGGCGUAAAGAGCUCGUAGGUGGUUCGGUAAGUCGGAUGUGAAAUCUCCAGGCUCAACCUGGAGGGGUCAUUCGAUACUGCCGUGACUAGAGUUCGGUAGGGGAGUGUGGAAUUCCUGGUGGAGCGGUGAAAUGCGCAGAUAUCAGGAGGAACACCCGUAGCGAAGGCGGCACUCUGGGCCGAUACUGACGCUGAGGAGCGAAAGCGUGGGGAGCGAACAGG
This 254-nucleotide ribosomal RNA is filed under the name uncultured bacterium. RNAcentral's name for it is "partial 16S ribosomal RNA". It matches the Rfam family "Bacterial small subunit ribosomal RNA", at positions 524 to 776 of the family's 1533-position model. The record is from RNAcentral.